GAAAAAAACACUCCCCUAACACGGUUUAUCAAAAAAACUCACACUAAAUCCCUAAAUCCCAAAACCACAUCUCUGCUGUCUUCUUCAAUCUCUUCGCCUUGAAUCCCUAAAUUACUCUCUCAAUCUCGUUCUCUCCAACAUCUUCAUCGAUGUCUGCAAAGAGAAAUCGUUGCCCUCCUGUUCUCUUCAACCUCUUCACCUCAAAUCCCUAAAAUUCUCUUUCAUUAUUGUUCCAACGGUAGAAAUCGUUGCCGUCAUGUUACACGUUCAGGUAGAAGGAUUGCUUUCAUCGGAAGGCUUUGCUGCAUUUAAGUGAAAGUUAGUACUGGAGGGUUCAUCAAGGGAUGCUAUAACAUAAUACUUUGCAGCUUGUUAUCACAUGGGGAGAUUAUAAUAACUCAUUAUUUAUCAAUAUUUCAGGUUUGCACUACUUAAACCUGAAAUUAUUGGUUAGGUGAAAACUCUUUUUUUUAAAAAGUAGAAAAUUUGUUAUUAUUCUCUUUUUUAUUUUAUUUUAUCAGUUUAGAAGAAGCCUAUGAGAUUCUACGAGUUAUUGAGAUUCAUGUGCUUAAGAGUAAACCUAACAUAAGCGCAACCCCUUGCUAAAUGGAUAACUCGGGGACCUUCAAUUUUAGUGAUUAUUUUCUCUUUUGAUAUUAAUGUCCAAUUAAAUGUUAAAAAUUUGGCAGAGCAUUGUGCAUUGGAUUCGACACUGAAUUGGUUCUAUGAUUUAUGUAGAAUAGAGAUGUUAAAUGCAAAAUGCAGAUUUGUAAAAUUUGCCAAAGUAGCUUAUGCAGUUUGGCAUGUCUGGAGUAAGUGAUAGUGAGUAUGGGUUAUACAGGUCGUUGCAAAUGUAAGAGGUUGCAGGUAUUUGUAUUUUGCUUCAAAAUGGAUUAUGCAGGUUUGAUAUGGGUGGAUGCAUUCAUAUUUGAUUUUACCACUGACUCUCAUUCACUUUGAUAAUACUAUAAGGAACUUUUUCGAGCAUGUGAGAAUUUAGUGAAAGAAUUAUCGAGACAUGACUCUGGGGGGAAACAGUUGAGUUUAUACAAAAAGUUUGUCCAAUAUGAGCUAAGUUUACGUGACACAAUGCAAAGAAGAGGUGGAAGACUUAGAAUUACCAAACUGAGUACGACAUUCUUUUGAUUGUAGUCAUUUACCUCGGGAUGAUGAAGCAACUUUCUUGUGAUGGACCAUAUAGAUAAUUGAUUAAAUUUUCAUGGAACUCAAGAAACCUUUUUGUAUAAUUGUUAUAUGUUUUAUUUAAAUGAAUGUGAAACAUAUUUGUUUCUGGAUUAGUUCAUAUUUUAAUAAUAGUAUUUAUAUAUUUAUGCAUUUUAA
Long non-coding RNA from Trifolium pratense (red clover), 1341 nucleotides. RefSeq lists it as uncharacterized. The record is from RefSeq and is a predicted model, not a curated record. The transcript has 4 exons. NCBI's taxonomy places the organism in Eukaryota, Viridiplantae, Streptophyta, Magnoliopsida, Fabales, Fabaceae.